RNAcentral lists this transfer RNA (85 nucleotides) under Dehalococcoidia bacterium. Its description in RNAcentral is "tRNA-Ser". It matches the Rfam family "tRNA". Rfam says of the family: Transfer RNA (tRNA) molecules are approximately 80 nucleotides in length. Their secondary structure includes four short double-helical elements and three loops (D, anti-codon, and T loops). Lineage: Bacteria; Bacillati; Chloroflexota; Dehalococcoidia. The record is from RNAcentral.
GGAGGGGUGUCCGAGCGGUUGAUGGAGGCGGUCUUGAAAACCGGGGUCCCUUCGGGGACCGGGGGUUCGAAUCCCACCUCCUCCG